UGGGGAAUCUUCCGCAAUGGACGAAAGUCUGACGGAGCAACGCCGCGUGAGUGAUGACGGCCUUCGGGUUGUAAAGCUCUGUUAAUCGGGACGAAUGGUUCUUGUGCGAAUAGUGCGAGGAUUUGACGGUACCGGAAUAGAAAGCCACGGCUAACUACGUGCCAGCAGCCGCGGUAAUACGUAGGUGGCAAGCGUUGUCCGGAAUUAUUGGGCGUAAAGCGCGCGCAGGCGGAUUGGUCAGUCUGUCUUAAAAGUUCGGGGCUUAACCCCGUGAUGGGAUGGAAACUACCAAUCUAGAGUAUCGGAGAGGAAAGUGGAAUUCCUAGUGUAGCGGUGAAAUGCGUAGAUAUUAGGAAGAACACCAGUGGCGAAGGCGACUUUCUGGACGAAAACUGACGCUGAGGCGCGAAAGCCAGGGGAGCGAACGGG
RNAcentral lists this ribosomal RNA (429 nucleotides) under bacterium. RNAcentral's name for it is "partial 16S ribosomal RNA". It matches the Rfam family "Bacterial small subunit ribosomal RNA", at positions 355 to 776 of the family's 1533-position model. The record is from RNAcentral.